RNAcentral lists this ribosomal RNA (494 nucleotides) under uncultured bacterium. Its description in RNAcentral is "partial 16S ribosomal RNA". It matches the Rfam family "Bacterial small subunit ribosomal RNA", at positions 28 to 507 of the family's 1533-position model. The record is from RNAcentral.
GACGAACGCUGGCGGCGUGCUUAACACAUGCAAGUCGAACGGUGAAGCGCCUUCUUUUUUGGUGGGUGUGGAUGAGUGGCGAACGGGUGAGUAACACGUGAGUAACCUGCCCCCUUCUUCUGGAUAACCGCAUGAAAGUGUGGCUAAUACGGGAUAUUCUGGGUCUGUCGCAUGAUGGGUCUGGGUACGAUAUUGUUUCGGUGGGGGAUGGGCUUGCGGCCUAUCAGCUUGUUGGUGGGGUGAUGGCCUAGCAAGGCGUUGACGUGUAGCCGGUGUGCGAGGGUGGACGGUCACAACAGGCGUGAGACACUGCACCGAGUUGAACGAGCGGCAGCAGCACAGAGUAUCGGCUAAUCGGGACAAAUCUAAAGCAGUGGCGACGAGCGACUGAUGGAGACCUUCGAGGUGUGAUACUCUUUCGUUGGUGAAGAAGGCCUGCCUGGUUUGUAGAUGGGUUGACGGUAGCUGGAUAAGAAGCGACGGCUAAGUACGUG